UUUCUCUGCUUAAAAUGGAAUGGCAAAAAAGCUUGGGUAAAGUAUUUCUUUGAUGGCUUUCAAGUCGAUACAUCUGUCAAUGAUUCCGCAUUGCAAAUAACCUUACCAGAAAAGAAAAAUUUCCUUGUUCCUCUUUCAAGUAACGGUAAAAGGUUUUCACAACUAAAUAUCUGGGAUCACGAGAUUUCGAGCAGCAAUAUUCAAGUCAUGGUAUCAGGGGGGCUCAAUAUUCAUGGCAACGUGCUGGCUUGGAGCAAGCUUUUACCAUACGUCUCCCCUGGAGAUAUAAAGUCAAUUGUUACUAUUUAUUUACCAGGUUACACAGUUUUAAUGAAGCGGACAAAUUGGUGCAGAGAUAAUCUCUCUGGGUCAUCCUGUCCUGGUGAAGAAGUUGCUAGAGUGGGUGGCAUGAUCUCAAGGGAAUCGAUAUUUUGGCGAUGUUAUUGCCCAAAAUGUUUGACUGCUUCAAAAAACACGUUCGAUUUUGACACAACUCACACAAGCAAAACUUGUUAUGUUUCUAACGUACAUAAUCAGCUCAUCCACAUCGACUGACAUUCACUUUGGCACAAGACACUGAGGCAGUAACUUAUGAUACAGGCUCUCUUCUUUAUCACCUUAUUUUGAGUAGAAAUGAAUGACUGAUUUUGGUCACUACAUUGCUAAAUGUUGUUGAUCGGUCUUAAACCAAUAGUCAGGAUAAUUUGUAGUUCUACACUCCAGUACUUACGUUCCAGUGAUGUUUUGAUAUUUAGGUAAAAGCUUGAGUUCUGUGUUGUUCUGGAAAGUGAAGUGGAGUACGAAUGGGAAAGCGAUCAAAAGCCAACAGACGGCUUACUCAUUUCAUUUCCAAUAGAUGAAGUAUAAACGUAAUACCUAUAAUAUAUAUCCUACAUAUAUCGAAUAAAAAUUGCAUAUUUCACAUUUCAAA
Xenia sp. Carnegie-2017 is the source of this 931-nucleotide long non-coding RNA. RefSeq lists it as uncharacterized. The transcript has 2 exons. Lineage: Eukaryota; Metazoa; Cnidaria; Anthozoa; Malacalcyonacea; Xeniidae. The record is from RefSeq and is a predicted model, not a curated record.